This 428-nucleotide ribosomal RNA is filed under the name uncultured Sphingobacteriales bacterium. RNAcentral's name for it is "bacterial SSU rRNA". It matches the Rfam family "Bacterial small subunit ribosomal RNA", at positions 954 to 1381 of the family's 1533-position model. Lineage: Bacteria; Pseudomonadati; Bacteroidota; Sphingobacteriia; Sphingobacteriales. The record is from RNAcentral.
AUGAUACGCGAGGAACCUUACCUGGGCUCAAAUGUAUGUUGACGUAUUCUGAAAGGGAUACUUACUUCGGACAAUAUACAAGGUGCUGCAUGGUUGUCGUCAGCUCGUGCCGUGAGGUGUCGGGUUAAGUACCCAUAACGAGCGCAACCCCUAUCAUUAGUUGCCAUCAGGUCAAGCUGGGGACUCUAAUGAAACUGCCUACGCAAGUAGUGAGGAAGGUGGGGAUGACGUCAAAUCAGCACGGCCCUUACGUCCAGGGCUACACACGUGCUACAAUGGCCGGUACAAAGGGCAGCUACCUGGUGACAGGAUGCUAAUCUCAAAAGCCGGUCUCAGUUCGGAUCGGAGUCUGCAACCCGACUCCGUGAAGUUGGAUUCGCUAGUAAUCGCGCAUCAGCCAUGGCGCGGUGAAUACGUUCCCGGGCCUC